AGAGCAGCAGGCGAUGCGCGAAAGGCGGGACUUGGAGAUAAAUACUGAGCACCCACAACAGGCAGCCAGCACCACUGCAGAUUGGAUACUGCAAUGAUGAUAAGCAUGGCCUGCCUUUAUGGAGGUUCUGGAUGUUCCUGUGGAUAACCUCAAGGAGCACGGGACCUGGGACAUGACUGCCCCCAGCAUUCCUUCUGGCGGCAGACAGAGUUUGUCAGUUCGCCAACAUCCUGCUUUCAUGAGAACAGUUUGCUGUUUGCUCACAGAGCCUCCAGUGGUAUACUGAGUUGGUCACGACCCUCAUUCCUUCGGCCUCCAACAUCUCCCCUUUUGUUUUUGCAUUAAUUGAAUAAAGGUAAUUUCAGGCUGUGCAGCUUUCAAUUGCCGGUUGGUGGUUCACCCGAUCCUAUAGACUAUGAGCAAAAAAACAGAGACAUAACAACAUUAUUCUUGUAAUUAUUAUAAAAGAGACAUUGAAGUUAUGUUUAAGAUGACGUCACUGAGGUAAGGGCGGGUUAAAGCCUGUCCUAUACCAAGCAAGUUGUGCAGCCAACUGGGGGACUGAAUCCCAGUGUGAUGUGAUGAAGAGGUGUUGAAGGUCCACCACCAGUGCCAGUGAAGUUUGUGCCAAGAGGUCUGAUUUUCAUCUCUCCCCUCUAAAUGGCCACGGGGACCCCAGUCAAUGUUUCCCAUUAACAUAGACUGUUGUCUGGCCAAGGGGCCAAGACACUGGGUCCAAGGAGGGGGGUGAGAAAUAUCAAAGGGAGCCCAUUCCAUAUAAUCCAUACAAUUUGAGUGAUGGGGCUAGGAGUGAUUGGUGAACACGCCAGUAACAUUAAUAAAGCUGAGGCCUAAUAAAUACAUAAUUUUUCCAUGGUGACUUAACCAUGCCUGAGAUUGGACUGCAAGACAGCUGCAGUUGAGUGACGUAUCCAUGGUGAUACAUAAAGGGAGUCCUUCCAAUGGGCCGGUGUAAUUGAUGCUAUUGCUCUGUGUCAGACGGAGUUAGGGGUCCUGGUGCCCACGCUCCCUGAUCAUAAUAUAUCUCAGGAGGAGUGUCGCUCCAGAGUACCAGUCGUACUACCAGUGGGUUAGGAACAUAUGCCCAAUAUGUUUUUGCCUCUACACAGGGGAAACAUACCGCACAGGACACUACAGCUAGCAUGGCCAAGAACAUGGAGUCAGGGGUUUUUGCCUGACCCUGGCGCUCCAGUAGUUUCUCAGCUUCUUGUGUCGUUUUCUUGAUCUGUCCCCAUGUUAUGGGGUUGGAUGUCAUUGUGACUCCGGUCGGCCCUUGUUCUGUCUUUGCAUUCAGAUUCCGCUGGCUCAUGGCUCGUACUGGAGGUAACAGGCCCACGGUUGAAUACCAUGGAUCCCUCCGGUCUCCCGUUCCAUGGUCACACACACCUGGAGGGCACCCACACGGUUUGUCCAUCUCCUGUAAAAACACAAGCAUACCCUCGUCCCCACGUCAGCAAAUCCACCGGACCUUUCCAUUGUCCUUCUUCUGGGGAUUUCCAUAACACUUUUGGAUAAACUUGCCUCUUUUCCUCUAGCAGUUGCCAGUGUCGUUCUGCUGGGGUCUUGCCAUCCGUACCAGGAGUCAAACAAUUUAAAGUAAACAAGGCUAAAUGUAAUUUUGUUUGAAGUGGUAAUUGGUCCCCUAUUCUCCCUUUUUGUUUUUUCAGCAUGCGUUGUAGUGUUUGAUGUACCCGCUCAAUAAUGCCUGGCCCUCAGGGAUUGUAUGGAAUUCCUGUUUUAUGAUUGAUUGCCCACAAUUGUAAAAAAUUGGGAAAGCAUGACUAACAUAAGCGAGUCCACUGUCAGUUUUAAAUUGUUUAGGGACCCCCAUAUGGGCAAAUGACGACAGACAGUAUCGUCAGACAUGACCAGCUGUUUCCCCAGUUUGGCAUGUGGCAUGUAACAUAUGGGAGUAAGUGUCUAUAUUACAUGAACAUAGCGGAGUUAGCCAAAGGCUGCUAUAUAUAUGUAACAUCCAUCUGCCAGAUUUCAUUUGGAGCCAAGCCUCGUGGGUUGCAUCCUUCCACAGGUGCAACACCAGGGACAUGCUGGCAAGUGGGGCAGGCUUGCACAAUAACUCAAGCCUGGCUGCGAGGCAGAUGAAACAUACGAGUAAGGGCAAGUUGUUCUGAUGCAGUAAAGCAUGGGAAGCUUGGGCUUGUUGAAAUAUAGAACUGAUGAAUUUAUCUGCUCUAUCAUUACCUAGAGAUAGUGGCCCCAGGAAGUUGUGUGUGAGAUCGGAUAUGAGAAAUAUGAAAAGGGGCAGCAUGAGAGCGAACAGCUUUUUGGAGUCUCAGAAAUAGGUUAAGCAGUUCUGGUUUUAAGGUGCUCUUGUGUGGGCGGCAAGCCAUCCAGGCGCCGAAGCAAGAGACAGAGGACACGGGCUGUUCCAGUAUAAUAAAAUAUAAAACAAGAAUAGUUAUACCAGAUAUAGAUCUUAGAUAUGAUUAUAUAUGAAUAUCAUUAAUCAUUAGUUUGUAGCAAUUACUUUUUAUUCCAAUAUUACAAUAAUCCUUGCUCUAUAAUCAUAGCCUAGGAAAAACCAGGCCAUACAGAGAUAGGAGCUGAGGGGACAUAGUGAGGUGUGACCAGAAGACAAGAGUGCGAGCCUUCUGUUAUGCCCAGACAGGGCCACCAGAGGGCUCCUUGGUCUAGUGGUGACGCCAGCGUUUGGGAAGACCGUGGUCUAGCGGUAGCGAAAAGUGUCAAGGAACAACACCCGCUACUUAGCAGACCGGGAAAGGGUGGGGGGCGGUCUCCCUUUCCCUGGGGGAGGUUAGAGAAGACUCUGCUCCUCCACCUCUUGUGGAGGGCCUGACAUUAGUCAGGCUCGCCCACAGUUAUCCGGAGGCCUAACCGUCUCCCUGUGAUUCUGUGCUUCAGUGGUCACGCUCCUAGUCCGCCUUCAUGUUCCAUCCUGUACACCUGGCUCUGCCUUCUAGAUAGCAGUAGUAAAUUAGUGAAAGUACUAAUAGUCCCUGAUAUGCAGAAAUAAUGGCGUAAGCUGUCUUUCUCUCUGUCUCCUCUCCCUCUCUGCCUCGGCUGCCAGGCAGGGAAGGGCCCCCUGACCAGUGGACACAUGACCCACGUGACCUUACCUAUCAUUGGAGAUGACUCACACUCUUUACCCUGCCCCUUUUGCUUUGUAUCCAAUAAAUAAGAGCGCAGCCAGACAUUCGGGGCCACUACCGGUCUCCGCGCAUUGGUGGUAGUGGU
Long non-coding RNA from Homo sapiens (human), 3237 nucleotides. NCBI's taxonomy places the organism in Eukaryota, Metazoa, Chordata, Mammalia, Primates, Hominidae. The record is from Ensembl.